RNAcentral lists this long non-coding RNA (525 nucleotides) under Homo sapiens (human). Its description in RNAcentral is "HSALNT0318366". Lineage: Eukaryota; Metazoa; Chordata; Mammalia; Primates; Hominidae. The record is from RNAcentral.
AGGGCAUAGAUUUUUUCAUUCUAUCAACCCACAAAGAGUAUAGCCAGCAUACUGAAAUGCACAUUGGUUGAAGGUUAAGGACUUCUACAACUAUCUCUGCUCAGCUGAAAGCGGAUAAUGAACAAGAACAUCAAUUUGUGCAAUAAGCUUUUGACUAGGAGAUAAAGUCUUGGAAUCAGCUUUGUGGGGGCAGAACGAAAAAGAUGGAUUUGAUGUCGUGAAAUGGCAAUUCUAAAACUCAGGAGAUAUGUUGGUGUUUCUGAGCUCUUACUCCAGUGUCCACUUGUCCAUAGAAUCACCUUUCACUUCUGGGGUCAGAGGACAGCUCCUGGAAUGAUCUCUCAUCUUACGGCAAAAAGGUUUGGUCCCCUUCACCUUAUGAUGUGACUGAAGCUUCCGGAGACCAACCAGGAGCAGAUGCUUGUGUCAUGCUACCUGUACAGCCUGCAGAACCAUGAGCCAAAGUAAAUCUCAUUUUUUAUAAAUUACCCAGUCUCAGACAUUCUUUAUAGUGAUGAAAAUGGA